AGUGGCAACACUUCUGUCGGCGACCGGCGCACGGGUGAGUAACGCGUAUGCAACCUGCCCUUCACAGGGGGAUAACAGCUGGAAACGGCUGCUAAUACCGCAUAAGCGCACAGUACCGCAUGGUACGGUGUGAAAAACUCCGGUGGUAUGAGAUGGACCCGCGUCUGAUUAGCUAGUUGGUGAGGUAACGGCCCACCAAGGCAACGAUCAGUAGCCGACCUGAGAGGGUGACCGGCCACACUGGAACUGAGACACGGUCCAGACUCC
Molecule: ribosomal RNA, 267 nt
Filed under: uncultured Eubacteriales bacterium
Lineage: Bacteria; Bacillati; Bacillota; Clostridia; Eubacteriales
Description: uncultured Clostridiales bacterium partial 16S ribosomal RNA
Rfam family: Bacterial small subunit ribosomal RNA
Source: RNAcentral